GAACGCUGGCGGCAUGCCUAACACAUGCAAGUCGAACGAGACCUUCGGGUCUAGUGGCGCACGGGUGCGUAACGCGUGGGAACCUGCCCUUAGGUUCGGAAUAACUCCCCGAAAGGGGUGCUAAUACCGGAUAAUGUCUUCGGACCAAAGAUUUAUCGCCUUUGGAUGGGCCCGCGUUGGAUUAGCUAGUUGGUAGGGUAAAAGCCUACCAAGGCGACGAUGCAUAGCUGGUCUGAGAGGAUGAUCAGCCACACUGGGACUGAGACACGGCCCAGACUCCUACGGGAGGCAGCAGUGGGGAAUAUUGGACAAUGGGCGAAAGCCUGAUCCAGCAAUGCCGCGUGAGUGAUGAAGGCCUUAGGGUUGUAAAGCUCUUUUACCCGGGAUGAUAAUGACAGUACCGGGAGAAUAAGCUCCGGCUAACUCCGUG
This 430-nucleotide ribosomal RNA is filed under the name uncultured bacterium. Its description in RNAcentral is "partial 16S ribosomal RNA". It matches the Rfam family "Bacterial small subunit ribosomal RNA", at positions 31 to 507 of the family's 1533-position model. The record is from RNAcentral.